GUCUAGGCCAACACCACCCUAAAGCGCGCUCAAUCUUGUCUGAUCUCGGAAGCUAAGCAGGGUCGGGCCUGGUUAGCACUUGGAUGGGAGAAGCCAAAAUCAGUAAAUCAAGUCU
This 115-nucleotide ribosomal RNA is filed under the name Carlito syrichta (Philippine tarsier). Lineage: Eukaryota; Metazoa; Chordata; Mammalia; Primates; Tarsiidae. The record is from RNAcentral.